This 529-nucleotide ribosomal RNA is filed under the name uncultured bacterium. Its description in RNAcentral is "bacterial SSU rRNA". It matches the Rfam family "Bacterial small subunit ribosomal RNA", at positions 108 to 635 of the family's 1533-position model. The record is from RNAcentral.
GCGUAACACGUAUGCAACCUACCUAUUAUUGGGGGAUAGCCUUUGGAAACGGAGAUUAACACCGCAUAAUACGAUUAACUGGCAUCGGUUGAUUCGUUAAAGCAUUUGCGAUAAUAGAUGGGCAUGCGUCCAAUUAGUUAGUUGGUGUGGUAAUGGCUCACCAAGACGAUGAUUGGUAGGGGAUCUGAGAGGAUAAUCCCCCACACUGGCACUGAGAUACGGGCCAGACUCCUACGGGAGGCAGCAGUAGGGAAUAUUGGGCAAUGGGCGGAAGCCUGACCCAGCCAUGCCGCGUGCAGGAAGACGGCGUUAUGCGUUGUAAACUGCUUUUUUAUAGGAAGAAGGAUCCCUUGCGAGGGAAGGUGACGGUACUAUAAGAAUAAGCACCGGCUAACUCCGUUCCAGCAGCCGCGGUAAUACGGAGGGUGCAAGCGUUGUCCGGAUUUAUUGGGUUUAAAGGGUGCGUANGCGGUUUAUUAAGUCAGUGGUGAAAGACGGUCGCUCAACGAUUGCAGUGCCAUUGAUACUG